AACGAACGCUGGCGGCAUGCCUAACACAUGCAAGUCGAACGAUACCUUCGGGUCUAUUUGCGCACGGGAUCGGAACGCGUGGGAAUCUUCCCUUGGGUUCGGAAUAACAGUUGGAAAGGACUGCUAAUACCGGAUGAAUACGUAAGUCCCAAGAUUUAUCGCACAGGGAUGAGCCCGCGUAGGAUUAGCUAGUUGGUGGGGUAAAGGCCUACCCAGGCUACGUUCCUUAGCUGGUCUGAGAGGAUGAUCAGCAACACUGGGACUGAGACACGGCCCAGACUCCUACGGGAGGCAGCAGUGGGGAAUAUUGGACAAUGGGCGAGAGCCUGAUCCAGCAAUGCCGCGUGAGUCAGGAAGGCCUUAGGGUUGUAAAGCUCUUUUAACCGGGAUGAUAAUGACAGUACCGGGAGAAUAAGCCCCGGCUAACUCCGUG
This 433-nucleotide ribosomal RNA is filed under the name uncultured bacterium. Its description in RNAcentral is "partial 16S ribosomal RNA". It matches the Rfam family "Bacterial small subunit ribosomal RNA", at positions 29 to 507 of the family's 1533-position model. The record is from RNAcentral.